GAGAUACUACUGGGGUAGGAGGCGGGAGAGUGCCGACGGUAUUCCCGGGGUAGGGGUGAAAUCCUAUAAUCCCGGGAGGACCACCAGUGGCGAAGGCUGUCGGCUAGAACGCGCUCGACGGUGAGGGACGAAAGCUGGGGGAGCGAACCGGAUUAGAUACCCGGGUAGUCCCAGCUGUAAACGAUGCGGGCUAGGUGUUGAAGUGGCUACGAGCCACUUCAGUGCCGCAGGGAAGCCAUUAAGCCCGCCGCCUGGGGAGUACGGCCGCAAGGCUGAAACUCAAAGGAAUUGGCGGGGGAGCACCACAAGGCGUGAAGCUUGCGGUUCAAUUGGAGUCAACGCCGGGAACCUUACCGGGGGCGACAGCAGGAUGAAAGCCAGAUUGAAGGUCUUGCUGGACAAGCUGAGAGGAGGUGCAUGGCCGUCGCCAGUUCGUGCCG
RNAcentral lists this ribosomal RNA (440 nucleotides) under uncultured archaeon. Its description in RNAcentral is "bacterial SSU rRNA". It matches the Rfam family "Archaeal small subunit ribosomal RNA", at positions 578 to 1016 of the family's 1478-position model. The record is from RNAcentral.